RNAcentral lists this ribosomal RNA (1436 nucleotides) under Salmonella enterica subsp. enterica serovar Typhimurium. Its description in RNAcentral is "partial 23S ribosomal RNA". It matches the Rfam family "Bacterial large subunit ribosomal RNA", at positions 408 to 1659 of the family's 2925-position model. Lineage: Bacteria; Pseudomonadati; Pseudomonadota; Gammaproteobacteria; Enterobacterales; Enterobacteriaceae. The record is from RNAcentral.
AUGAGUAGGGCGGGACACGUGGUAUCCUGUCUGAAUAUGGGGGGACCAUCCUCCAAGGCUAAAUACUCCUGACUGACCGAUAGUGAACCAGUACCGUGAGGGAAAGGCGAAAAGAACCCCGGCGAGGGGAGUGAAAAAGAACCUGAAACCGUGUACGUACAAGCAGUGGGAGCCCCACCACUAAGCCAGUGGUGAACUCCACAUCCGCAUCCUUUGCUGAGGAUACGGUUAACGGAGCGAAAGCGACGUUCAACCGCAAAACAAGCAGAGGGGGCUUAGUGGUGGGGUGACUGCGUACCUUUUGUAUAAUGGGUCAGCGACUUAUAUUCUGUAGCAAGGUUAACCGAAUAGGGGAGCCGGAGGGAAACCGAGUCUUAAUUGGGCGUUAAGUUGCAGGGUAUAGACCCGAAACCCGGUGAUCUAGCCAUGGGCAGGUUGAAGGUUGGGUAACACUAACUGGAGGACCGAACCGACUAAUGUUGAAAAAUUAGCGGAUGACCUGUGGCUGGGGGUGAAAGGCCAAUCAAACCGGGAGAUAGCUGGUUCUCCCCGAAAGCUAUUUAGGUAGCGCCUCGUGAAUUCAUCUCCGGGGGUAGAGCACUGUUUCGGCUAGGGGGCCAUCCCGGCUUACCAACCCGAUGCAAACUGCGAAUACCGGAGAAUGUUAUCACGGGAGACACACGGCGGGUGCUAACGUCCGUCGUGAAGAGGGAAACAACCCAGACCGCCAGCUAAGGUCCCAAAGUCAUGGUUAAGUGGGAAACGAUGUGGGAAGGCCCAGACAGCCAGGAUGUUGGCUUAGAAGCAGCCAUCAUUUAAAGAAAGCGUAAUAGCUCACUGGUCGAGUCGGCCUGCGCGGAAGAUGUAACGGGGCUAAACCAUGCACCGAAGCUGCGGCAGCGAACGUAUCACCCAAGACAACUUUACGGAGUUGACGAUUGACGGAGCGAAGCGACGUCAAAGCGUUCAUUAAAGUCGAGUUGGCUUAGGGAUACGUUCGUUGGGUAGGGGAGCGUUCUGUAAGCCUGUGAAGGUGUGUCGUGAGGCAUGCUGGAGGUAUCAGAAGUGCGAAUGCUGACAUAAGUAACGAUAAAGCGGGUGAAAAGCCCGCUCGCCGGAAGACCAAGGGUUCCUGUCCAACGUUAAUCGGGGCAGGGUGAGUCGACCCCUAAGGCGAGGCCGAAAGGCGUAGUCGAUGGGAAACGGGUUAAUAUUCCCGUACUUGGUGUUACUGCGAAGGGGGGACGGAGAAGGCUAUGUUGGCCGGGCGACGGUUGUCCCGGUUUAAGCGUGUAGGUGUGUGUUCCAGGUAAAUCCGGUUCACUUUAACACUGAGGCGUGACGACGAGGCACUACGGUGCUGAAGCAACAAAUGCCCUGCUUCCAGGAAAAGCCUCUAAGCAUCAGGUAACACGAAAUCGUACCCCAAACCGACA